UACGUAGGGGGCUAGCGUUGCUCGGAAUCACUGGGCGUAAAGCGCACGUAGGCGGUUCCUUAAGUCGGGGGUGAAAUCCUGGAGCUCAACUCCAGAACUGCCUUCGAUACUGAGGAUCUCGAGUCCGGGAGAGGUGAGUGGAACUGCGAGUGUAGAGGUGAAAUUCGUAGAUAUUCGCAAGAACACCAGUGGCGAAGGCGGCUCACUGGCCCGUAACUGACGCUGAGGCACGAAAGCGUGGGGAGCAAACAGG
Molecule: ribosomal RNA, 253 nt
Filed under: uncultured bacterium
Lineage: Bacteria
Description: partial 16S ribosomal RNA
Rfam family: Bacterial small subunit ribosomal RNA
Source: RNAcentral